Molecule: ribosomal RNA, 594 nt
Filed under: uncultured fungus
Lineage: Eukaryota; Fungi
Description: eukaryotic LSU rRNA
Rfam family: 5.8S ribosomal RNA (bases 50-204)
Source: RNAcentral
ACAUCCAGUCUCAAGCAUGUAAAAGUCGCUUCGGCGCAGUUGAUAAUACAACUUUCAGCAACGGAUCUCUUGGCUUUCGCAUCGAUGAAGGACGCCGCGAAAGUGCGAAACGUAAUGUGAAUUGCAGAAUUCAGUGAAUCAUCGAAUCUUUGAACGCAUCUUGCGCCCCUUGGUAUCCCGAGGGGCAUGCCUGUUUGAGUGUCGUGAACUUCCAUCGACCCUUGGCCUUGUAAUGGGGCCUCGGGGCGGAUUUGGACGUUGCGGGUCCCGUCCAGCGGUCCGCUCGUCUUGAAGUGCAUCAGCCGGCUCUAACGCCUCGGUCUGACGGCGGCGUGAUAAGGUAUUCGUGCCGUAUUCGUCGUCUUGCGAUCGGGGUGCGAAGCGGUCGCCUUCUAAUGGUCUUCGGACGCCGUAUUGUGAUCUGACCUCAAAUCAGGUAGGACUACCCGCCGAACUUAAGCAUAUCAAUAAGCGGAGGAAAAGAAACUAACAGGGAUUCCCCUAGUAACGGCGAGUGAAGCGGGAAGAGCUCAAAUUUGUAAUCUGGCGGCCUCCGGUCGUCCGAGUUGUAAUCUGGAGAAGCGUCUUCCGCGC